RNAcentral lists this ribosomal RNA (1249 nucleotides) under Haloarcula vallismortis. RNAcentral's name for it is "bacterial LSU rRNA". It matches the Rfam family "Archaeal large subunit ribosomal RNA", at positions 1732 to 2976 of the family's 2987-position model. The record is from RNAcentral. Lineage: Archaea; Methanobacteriati; Methanobacteriota; Halobacteria; Halobacteriales; Haloarculaceae.
GUGUCCGUACCGAGAACCGACACAGGUGUCCAUGGCGGCGAAAGCCAAGGCCUGUCGGGAGCAACCAACGUUAGGGAAUUCGGCAAGUUAGUCCCGUACCUUCGGAAGAAGGGAUGCCUGCUCCGGAACGGAGCAGGUCGCAGUGACUCGGAAGCUCGGACUGUCUAGUAACAACAUAGGUGACCGCAAAUCCGCAAGGACUCGUACGGUCACUGAAUCCUGCCCAGUGCAGGUAUCUGAACACCUCGUACAAGAGGACGAAGGACCUGUCAACGGCGGGGGUAACUAUGACCCUCUUAAGGUAGCGUAGUACCUUGCCGCAUCAGUAGCGGCUUGCAUGAAUGGAUUAACCAGAGCUUCACUGUCCCAACGUUGGGCCCGGUGAACUGUACAUUCCAGUGCGGAGUCUGGAGACACCCAGGGGGAAGCGAAGACCCUAUGGAGCUUUACUGCAGGCUGUCGCUGAGACGUGGUCGCCGAUGUGCAGCAUAGGUAGGAGACAUUACACAGGUACCCGCGCUAGCGGGCCACCGAGUCAACAGUGAAAUACUACCCGUCGGUGACUGCGACUCUCACUCCGGGAGGAGGACACCGAUAGCCGGGCAGUUUGACUGGGGCGGUACGCGCUCGAAAAGAUAUCGAGCGCGCCCUAUGGCUAUCUCAGCCGGGACAGAGACCCGGCGAAGAGUGCAAGAGCAAAAGAUAGCUUGACAGUGUUCUUCCCAACGAGGAACGCUGACGCGAAAGCGUGGUCUAGCGAACCAAUUAGCCUGCUUGAUGCGGGCAAUUGAUGACAGAAAAGCUACCCUAGGGAUAACAGAGUCGUCACUCGCAAGAGCACAUAUCGACCGAGUGGCUUGCUACCUCGAUGUCGGUUCCCUCCAUCCUGCCCGUGCAGAAGCGGGCAAGGGUGAGGUUGUUCGCCUAUUAAAGGAGGUCGUGAGCUGGGUUUAGACCGUCGUGAGACAGGUCGGCUGCUAUCUACUGGGUGUGUAAUGGUGUCUGACAAGAACGACCGUAUAGUACGAGAGGAACUACGGUUGGUGGCCACUGGUGUACCGGUUGUUCGAGAGAGCACGUGCCGGGUAGCCACGCCACACGGGGUAAGAGCUGAACGCAUCUAAGCUCGAAACCCACUUGGAAAAGAGACACCGCAGAGGUCCCGCGUAUAAGACGCGGUCGAUAGACUCGGGGUGUGCGCGUCGAGGUAACGAGACGUUAAGCCCACGAGCACUAACAGACCAAAGCC